GACGAACGCUGGCGGCGUGCUUAACACAUGCAAGUCGAACGGGCCCGCCCUCUUUUUUGGGGGUGGGUUGAGUGGCGAACGGGUGAGUAUCACGUGAGUAACCUGCCCCCUGCUCCUGGAUAACUGCUUGAAAGGGCGGCUAAUACGGGGUGUGCCGGCUGGUCCGCAUGGGCCUGGUCGGGAUAGUUUCAUCUUCGGGUGUUUCGGUGGGGGAUGGGCUCGCGGCCUAUCAGCUUGUUGGUGGGGUGAUGGCCCACCAAGGCGGUGACGGGGAGCCGGCCUGGGAGGGGGCGCGGCCACACUGGGACUGAGACACGGCCCAGAGUCCUGCGGGAGGCAGCAGUGGGGGGUAUUGCACAAUGGGCGGAAGCCUGAUGCAGCGACGUCGCGUGAGGGAUGGGGGCCUUCGGGUUGUGAACCUCUUUCUCCGGUGGUGAAGGCCCUGUCCGUUGCGGCGGGGUUGACGGUAGCCGGGGAUGAAGCGCCGGCUAACUACGUG
Molecule: ribosomal RNA, 499 nt
Filed under: uncultured bacterium
Lineage: Bacteria
Description: partial 16S ribosomal RNA
Rfam family: Bacterial small subunit ribosomal RNA
Source: RNAcentral